GCCCUUCCUACGGGAGGCAGCAGUGAGGAAUAUUGGUCAAUGGGCGGGAGCCUGAACCAGCCAAGUCGCGUGAAGGAAGAAGGAUCUAUGGUUCGUAAACUUCUUUUGCAGGGGAAUAAAGUGCAGGACGUGUCCUGUUUUGUAUGUACCCUGAGAAUAAGGAUCGGCUAACUCCGUGCCAGCAGCCGCGGUAAUACGGAGGAUCCGAGCGUUAUCCGGAUUUAUUGGGUUUAAAGGGUGCGUGGGUGGUUUGAUAAGUCAGCGGUGAAAGUUUGCAGCUUAACUGUAAAAAUGCCGUUGAAACUGUCGGACUUGAGUGUAAAUGAGGUAGGCGGAAUGCGUGGUGUAGCGGUGAAAUGCAUAGAUAUCACGCAGAACUCCGAUUGCGAAGGCAGCUUACUAAGCUACAACUGGCACUGAAGCACGAAAGCGUGGGGAUCAAACAGGAUUAGAUACCCUGGUAGUCCACGCAGUAAACGAUGAUUACUAGCUGUUUGCGAUACACAGUAAGCGGCACAGCGAAAGCGUUAAGUAAUCCACCUGGGGAGUACGCCGGCAACGGUGAAACUCAAAGGAAUUGACGGAAGGGC
RNAcentral lists this ribosomal RNA (590 nucleotides) under uncultured bacterium. RNAcentral's name for it is "bacterial SSU rRNA". It matches the Rfam family "Bacterial small subunit ribosomal RNA", at positions 332 to 922 of the family's 1533-position model. The record is from RNAcentral.